CAGGUGUGGGGCGCUGCCUGAGGCAGGGAGAGGAAGAGGGAGAUGCAGACAGGAUGGAGACGGCAGGAGAGGCCGGGGAAGAGGGAAGGGCCUGGGUCACAGGGACCCCGGGGGCAAGCCCUUCCCUGAGGCAGUACGUGCUCACCAGCAGCAGCCCCAGGCUUACACCCUGUCUCAGCAGAGAGCCUCUUCCCCUCAAAGUGCCAGCAGAAGUCUCAGGGCUGAUGCUCACUGGGCAGGACUGGCUCCCCUGCCUGUACCUGGGAUGACAAUGACCCCUCCAGCAACUGGUCACAUGCCAGGGACUGCUCUCGACACUUCCUAUGUAUAAACCCAUUCAGUCCCCCAAAAUGCCAGGACUACUCUCACCGCCACUUCGCAGACACGGAGACGGAGGCACAGAAAGCUCUAUAACGUGUCCAUGGCUCAGGCCUGGAAACACCACUGAGCCUUGGUUCCAAGUCAACCAUCACCCACUGGCACCUGCAAGCACCACCUGGCACAGACUCAAGAAACAACAGUGGCAGCAUCUGCCCCAUAAGAUGUAUGACUCACUUCUGUUUUUUAAAUACACUGAUCAUUAAACUGAGA
Long non-coding RNA from Canis lupus familiaris (dog), 591 nucleotides. RefSeq lists it as uncharacterized. NCBI's taxonomy places the organism in Eukaryota, Metazoa, Chordata, Mammalia, Carnivora, Canidae. The record is from RefSeq and is a predicted model, not a curated record. The transcript is spliced from 3 exons.